RNAcentral lists this long non-coding RNA (496 nucleotides) under Setaria viridis. RNAcentral describes it as "long non-coding RNA (SVIR_LNC006784)". The record is from RNAcentral. Lineage: Eukaryota; Viridiplantae; Streptophyta; Magnoliopsida; Poales; Poaceae.
GUUCAUUUUUCGCAGCAGGUUUUUCUUACUUUUUACAGCUGCCGAGAUAUUUUCUCAUCGAAGCUACCCGCCUAGCAGGUUAUGGUACCAAUUCGUUUUCUUUUUUCCUCGAUCCUUCCCGCCUCACUGCUCUCCUCUCGAGGCAUGGCAAGGGUUUCGCCUCUCGCCGGUGGCGCCCUCAACCGAGCUCCAGCGGCACUCCUCUUCCAUCUCCGGUGGGGCCCUCCUCCCUCCUUCUUCAGCGCGGCGCCUUGACGGGCAUCCCUGCCGGACCGGCAGCAGACACCCGUAGAUCCACCCCCAACUGUCUGGACUUGGGAAUGGUAGGCUCUUGACUGGCAUGCUUCUUCAUAGUGCUUAGCCCAUGAAAGUUGACACUUUGGGAUACGGGAGUGACUUGACGCUACACAACUACCCUAUUUCCCAUGUAGAAAUGCAAAAAUAAUCACACAAAGUGAUUUGAAGUUCAACAUUCUCUUCAUAAUUUUAUUUUGUU